RNAcentral lists this long non-coding RNA (1233 nucleotides) under Oryctolagus cuniculus (rabbit). RNAcentral's name for it is "lncRNA (ENSOCUG00000038558.1)". The record is from RNAcentral. Lineage: Eukaryota; Metazoa; Chordata; Mammalia; Lagomorpha; Leporidae.
UAUUUAUUGGGAAGGCAGAGAUAGUGUGACACUGAGAGAGACAGAGAAAAAGAGAGAGAGGGAGAACAUGAAUCUCCCAUCCUCUGGUUCACUCCCAAAUGCACACAACAGCCAGCGCUAUGCCAGCCAAUACUAGGAAGCAGGAACCCAAUCUGGGUCUCCCAUGUGAAAGAUAGGGUCCCACUCACUUCAGCAUCAUCUGCUGCCCCUCAGGUGUGCAUUAGCAAGAGGCUGGAAUUAGCAGCAGUCAGGACUCAAACCCAAGCACUCUGAUAUGGAAUGUGGGUAUCCUAUGCAGCAUUUUAACCACUGUGCCAAACGCACACCCCAGGCAUGGAAAAUUUUUGUUCAUCCAUUUGUGUAGGUGUUGGUGAAAGAAAGAGAGUUUAUGCUACCCUUCAUUGGCCACACUGUUUAAAUUUAUCAGACAUUGAUUACAUCUUCAUUUUUCCUAGAUAAACCCAGUUCAAGAUAAAUUUGCAACAGCUUUAACCUCCUCAAUCAAAGAAAGCAAUUUAGGGGCCAGCACUGUGGUAAAGCAAGUAAAGCCUCCACCUGCAGUGCCAGCAUCCCAUAUGGGUGCCAGUUCCAGCCCUGACUGUUCUACUUCCAAUCCAGCUCUCUGCUAUGGCCUAGAAAAGCAGUAAAAAAUGGCCCAAGUGCUUGGGCUGUUGCACCCUUGUGGGAGACCCUGAAGAAGCUCCUGGCUCCUGGCUUUGGAUUGGCCCAGCUCUGGCCAUUUCAACCAUUUGGGGAGUGAACCAGUGGAUGAAAGACUUUCUCUCUUUCUCUUUCUUUCUCUCUCUCUAUCUCUGCAACUCUGCCCUUCAAAUAAAUAAGUAAACAUUUUUAAAAAAAGAAAGAAAGCAAUUGGCAUUACUGCUAAGUACAAAGCUUUGUUUUAUCUCAUGUUUGUUUUUAAAAGGCCAUUCUUCCAACUGCUAUUAUUAGAUAAGAUCAUAAACUCUGGGCAAAAAAAUGCUAUAAUGAAGUUCUUAAAACCCAGUGAUUCAACUACACUUUCAAAAACUCUUGUACCCCUCCCAUGUAUUCUGCAUUUAUUCUCUCAAAUCUCAAAUCACAGAAACUAAAAUGCUAUGCCUAAAGAGAGCCUGGCAUGUACCUAAGCCUCUACUGUGACAGGUGUGUGGAGUACAGCCCACAGGAGGUUAAGUCAUCUGUCUCCAGCAUCUUACAUGAACAAGAAGGACAGUGACAACCGGCAGUUCCUGC